This 1510-nucleotide ribosomal RNA is filed under the name Escherichia coli. RNAcentral describes it as "partial 23S ribosomal RNA". It matches the Rfam family "Bacterial large subunit ribosomal RNA", at positions 397 to 1890 of the family's 2925-position model. The record is from RNAcentral. Lineage: Bacteria; Pseudomonadati; Pseudomonadota; Gammaproteobacteria; Enterobacterales; Enterobacteriaceae.
CUGUGAGCUCGAUGAGUAGGGCGGGACACGUGGUAUCCUGUCUGAAUAUGGGGGGACCAUCCUCCAAGGCUAAAUACUCCUGACUGACCGAUAGUGAACCAGUACCGUGAGGGAAAGGCGAAAAGAACCCCGGCGAGGGGAGUGAAAAAGAACCUGAAACCGUGUACGUACAAGCAGUGGGAGCACAGAGCAAUCUGUGUGACUGCGUACCUUUUGUAUAAUGGGUCAGCGACUUAUAUUCUGUAGCAAGGUUAACCGAAUAGGGGAGCCGAAGGGAAACCGAGUCUUAACUGGGCGUUAAGUUGCAGGGUAUAGACCCGAAACCCGGUGAUCUAGCCAUGGGCAGGUUGAAGGUUGGGUAACACUAACUGGAGGACCGAACCGACUAAUGUUGAAAAAUUAGCGGAUGACUUGUGGCUGGGGGUGAAAGGCCAAUCAAACCGGGAGAUAGCUGGUUCUCCCCGAAAGCUAUUUAGGUAGCGCCUCGUGAAUUCAUCUCCGGGGGUAGAGCACUGUUUCGGCAAGGGGGUCAUCCCGACUUACCAACCCGAUGCAAACUGCGAAUACCGGAGAAUGUUAUCACGGGAGACACACGGCGGGUGCUAACGUCCGUCGUGAAGAGGGAAACAACCCAGACCGCCAGCUAAGGUCCCAAAGUCAUGGUUAAGUGGGAAACGAUGUGGGAAGGCCCAGACAGCCAGGAUGUUGGCUUAGAAGCAGCCAUCAUUUAAAGAAAGCGUAAUAGCUCACUGGUCGAGUCGGCCUGCGCGGAAGAUGUAACGGGGCUAAACCAUGCACCGAAGCUGCGGCAGCGACGCUUAUGCGUUGUUGGGUAGGGGAGCGUUCUGUAAGCCUGCGAAGGUGUGCUGUGAGGCAUGCUGGAGGUAUCAGAAGUGCGAAUGCUGACAUAAGUAACGAUAAAGCGGGUGAAAAGCCCGCUCGCCGGAAGACCAAGGGUUCCUGUCCAACGUUAAUCGGGGCAGGGUGAGUCGACCCCUAAGGCGAGGCCGAAAGGCGUAGUCGAUGGGAAACAGGUUAAUAUUCCUGUACUUGGUGUUACUGCGAAGGGGGGACGGAGAAGGCUAUGUUGGCCGGGCGACGGUUGUCCCGGUUUAAGCGUGUAGGCUGGUUUUCCAGGCAAAUCCGGAAAAUCAAGGCUGAGGCGUGAUGACGAGGCACUACGGUGCUGAAGCAACAAAUGCCCUGCUUCCAGGAAAAGCCUCUAAGCAUCAGGUAACAUCAAAUCGUACCCCAAACCGACACAGGUGGUCAGGUAGAGAAUACCAAGGCGCUUGAGAGAACUCGGGUGAAGGAACUAGGCAAAAUGGUGCCGUAACUUCGGGAGAAGGCACGCUGAUAUGUAGGUGAAGUCCCUCGCGGAUGGAGCUGAAAUCAGUCGAAGAUACCAGCUGGCUGCAACUGUUUAUUAAAAACACAGCACUGUGCAAACACGAAAGUGGACGUAUACGGUGUGACGCCUGCCCGGUGCCGGAAGGUUAAUUGAUGGGGU